This 314-nucleotide unclassified non-coding RNA is filed under the name Hevea brasiliensis (rubber tree). Lineage: Eukaryota; Viridiplantae; Streptophyta; Magnoliopsida; Malpighiales; Euphorbiaceae. The record is from RNAcentral.
AAAACUAAAAUAAAGUAACAAUACGCAGCAUGAAAUUCUGAUCAUGCCAAUCAAAUAAUGCCAUAUUCUUUUAUGAAGGGAAGGAGGGAAAAAAUAGUUAUUUGAAAGUAUUUUAGCCCUCAAGAAUAUGAGUGGGCCUCUAAAGGGUGACCUUAGCCCUUCAUCAGGCAUGGUUUAAAAUCGCGAUAACGGGUAAUGAAAAUAGGCCUGUAAUGGUCAUAACAUAACGGUAACAACUUGAUGCUACGCAAAAGUUCAUAGAAUGACUAUAUAUUGAUAGAUACAAGUAUAACUAAAAUACACAACUAUAUAAU